UGUUUGCUUAUCUUAGAAAAUUGAUUUUUGUUCUUUUUACUACUAAAGCCUUACUUCUCUCUUCUGUGAUUAAAGUGGUGACCAACUUGGAAGGGCAGUUCAUAUGUCAAGUUGGGAGUUCUAAGGAAGGAUUGUUUAAUGGCCAAUUUGAUGCUGCCCUAUUUGACCACCCUCAGGGGAAGAAACAACUAUUAUUUCCAUGCAAUAAUAAUAGCUCUUACAAAAACAUGCUAUGAGCUCUUAACGUUUGAGAUAACUUGGCAAUAGUAGUCAUCCAUAUGCAAUUGCUGCUAAAUUGAAUGAGUGUGUUGUGUGUUGUCAUGUCCUGAGUCUGCAUGCUCUGAAGUUAUGAACUAAUGUUCCUUUUCUUAUGCCUAUCUUUCUUGAGACAAAAUUAUUUAAAUCUUCAUGAUCUGAACUUUCUCUUGUCAUGCAUGUAAAGUCAUACAACUAUUCCUUGCCACCUAUUACAGGGUCUUGCUUACAAUUCCAAAAGGAAUAUCUUGUAUGUUGCAGAUACGGAGAACCACGCGUUGCGAUAACUACCUCCACUGAGUUCAAUUGGAUCAGUCGGUUUCUAUUAACUUCUAAAAUGACUUAGAAAUGGCUUGUGUUAUUGUGCACUUUGAUUCACUAUUUUGUUUGGAAUGUCUUUUUGUGAUAUUUCAGUCUGUGGUCCAAACACCUUUACUUUUUGAAAAAUGUCGCCUUCUGUCGUUGCCUCAAAUUCCAUACGUUCGACAUCUAUGAAUAGAAAAUUUUGACACUAUAUCUUUGAACAAUUGAUCUCUCAGGAAUAUAUGAGGCCUUGGAGUUGAGGGAUGGAGGAUCUGAUUAUCUUGGCAAGGGUGUUCUUAAGCUUUUGGCUUAACAUUUGAGAGGAGAAGGCGGUCACGAUCACGUGGGUGAAGGCGAGGCAGAUCUUCAUCAGCCGCGGCAACCCCACCGUCGAGGUGGACGUGGGCCUCAGCGAUGGCAGCUACGCGAGGGGGGCCGUACCCAGCGGCGUAUCCACUGUUGAAACCAAGAGUUGUCUCUCCCAAGGACGCAUUUCAUCACCAUCACUAAGCAACGCACGAGCACAUCACCAGGGUAUAAGUUUUUUUUUGCUAUUCUACCUUUUUUUCUCUCUUACCCUGUUUGUUUUCUGAAAUUCGUCAGUUGGUUAGUUUUUAGCUUCCUGAAAGGCUGAA
Zea mays is the source of this 1193-nucleotide long non-coding RNA. RefSeq lists it as uncharacterized. NCBI's taxonomy places the organism in Eukaryota, Viridiplantae, Streptophyta, Magnoliopsida, Poales, Poaceae. The record is from RefSeq and is a predicted model, not a curated record. The transcript is spliced from 4 exons.